This 253-nucleotide ribosomal RNA is filed under the name uncultured bacterium. Its description in RNAcentral is "partial 16S ribosomal RNA". It matches the Rfam family "Bacterial small subunit ribosomal RNA", at positions 524 to 776 of the family's 1533-position model. The record is from RNAcentral.
GACAGAGGGUGCAAACGUUGUUCGGAUUUACUGGGCGUAAAGCGCGUGUAGGCGGCUUUACAAGUCGGAUGUGAAAGCCCACGGCUCAACCGUGGAAGUGCAUCCGAAACUGUAUCGCUGGAGUCCCGGAGAGGAAGGUGGAAUGCUUGGUGUAGAGGUGAAAUUCGUAGAUAUUCGGAGGAACACCAGUGGCGAAGGCGGCUCACUGGUCCAUUACUGACGCUGAGGUGCGAAAGCGUGGGGAGCAAACAGG